AGAGUUUGAUCCUGGCUCAGAGUGAACGCUGGCGGCGUGGAUUAGGCAUGCAAGUCGAGCGAUCCCACACCCAGCUUUGAUGUUCCGUAAGGAGUGUUGAAGCUGGGUGUGGGAUAGCGGCAGACUGGUGAGUAACACGUGAGUAAUUUACCUUUAAGCCGGGGAUAGCCUUGCGAAAGCGAGGGUAAUACCCGAUGUGUUCAUUUUCGCUUAUGCGAAAAUGAGUAAAGGUGGCCUGUAAGGGUUGUUGCUUAAAGAUGAGCUCGCGUCCUAUCAGCUUGUUGGUAGGGUAAUGGCCUACCAAGGCAAUUGACGGGUAGCUGGUCUAAGAGGAUGGUCAGCCACACGGGGACUGAGACACUGCCCCGACUCCUACGGGAGGCUGCAGUCGAGGAUCUUUAGCAAUGGGCGAAAGCCUGACUAUGCGACGCCGCGUGAGGGAUGAAGGUUUUCGGAUCGUAAACCUCUUUCAAUGGGGAAGAAACCCCGCCUUAAUAGGGCAGGGUUGACGGUACCUAGAGAAGAAGCCACGGCCAACUCCGUGCCAGCAGCCGCGGUAAUACGGGGGUGGCGAGCGUUACUCGGAUUUAUUGGGUGUAAAGGGCAGGUAGGUGUUCCGCCAAGUUAGAAGUGAAAUCCUUUGGCUUAACCAAAGAACUGCUUCUAAAACUGGCGGGAUUGAGGCUGGAAGAGGAGAGCGGAAUUCCCGGUGUAAGGGUGAAAUCUGUAGAUAUCGGGAGGAACGCCAGUGGCGAAAGCGGCUCUCUGGUCUAGCUCUGACACUGAACUGCGAAAGCUAGGGGAGCAAACAGGAUUAGAUACCCUGGUAGUCC
This 833-nucleotide ribosomal RNA is filed under the name uncultured bacterium. Its description in RNAcentral is "bacterial SSU rRNA". It matches the Rfam family "Bacterial small subunit ribosomal RNA", at positions 8 to 796 of the family's 1533-position model. The record is from RNAcentral.